UGAACAACUGUGCCUGGCCUAUAUGGUACAAUUUUUAGAAGAUUAUUGACUUCCUGAGUCUGAAAAGUACUCCAAAGUCAAGGCAACAAAAUGGCCCAUUACUUCAAAAGAGGUGGAAGCCACACUAAGCAUUUCAGACCUCAUUUCAAGAAUAAUUUGUCAGGCCUCUGAGCCCAAGCCUGCACGUAUACGUCCAGAUGGCCUG
This 205-nucleotide long non-coding RNA is filed under the name Homo sapiens (human). Its description in RNAcentral is "HSALNT0320961". Lineage: Eukaryota; Metazoa; Chordata; Mammalia; Primates; Hominidae. The record is from RNAcentral.